Molecule: long non-coding RNA, 1534 nt
Filed under: Capsella grandiflora
Lineage: Eukaryota; Viridiplantae; Streptophyta; Magnoliopsida; Brassicales; Brassicaceae
Description: long non-coding RNA (CGRA_LNC001702)
Source: RNAcentral
CAUUUGAUUAAGUGUAGGACUAAACAAGCUCUUUUCUUUUGCGGCUGGUGCAUUGGUUUUUUUAUUGAUUUGAUCAACUUGAAAUUUGAUCUUCUAUUACUUAGCAAUUGGGAGUUUUGUAAUUUCCGUUGAAUUUUCCCCAACUCUGCAACGAAACCUCUAUUGGGUCUAUUUCCUUUUCGAUUGUGAAGAUUCUGAGUUUCUGAAAUGUCUUGUAUUGUAAUCCUUGAAUUGGUUUUGGUCAAUCAUUUCUCUUCAGAGUGUUAUGUGUUUAUGUGUACAAAAGAUCAAUACUUUAAUGCUGAGUAGGUGUUACAGAGAAAAAAUUUCGAUCUCUUCUCUGGAAAUUUCUGCACCUGUCUGAAUCUAAUUCACUCAUUGGUUGGGAAAUUUGGUUUUAGGGAAUGAGGAAAGUAUAUACGGGUUUAAGUAUUGUCAGUUUUCACCCCAUUUCUAGCAAAUUUUGGUUACUCUUUAAUGUAGGUUCUUAUGAUUGCUGUUAGAUUAUGUUUCAGCUUUAAACUCUGAAGAAACAAGUGAUUACUUAGUAGCGUAACAUUUGAAAGAUUUUUGAAUUGACAGGGAAUGUGAGAGCGUUUGAAGCUGUGUACCCAUCCAAGAAGUUAGCCUAAUGUUUUUACUUGAUGAUAGACUUGCAUAACAUCUUUAGUGUCUUAAGCCAUGUGAGUGCCGAGAGGUCACUGACAGUGUAGUAGUAAACUUGUAGAUAAAUUCUUGCAAGGUCUUUUCUCAAGUCGAAGUUAGCCAAUGUCUUACUUGACGACGAUCUGAACAUCUUGUCUCAGAUUGUGGUUUGGCCCUGUGACUCAGGUAAACUGCUAAAGCCCAAAGAGCUUGGUUCUUAUAGUUUCUCCUUUUCAGUCUUCAAGAUCCCAAGAAAAGUAACUCCAUUUUUCAGGGCAACUACUAGCCUCUCAUAGAUAUGGAGCAGACUUAGGAAUCUACUGAAUUGCAGAGAAGGAGAAGUACAGUUCUCAGUCACAACAACCACAAGUCAACAACAACGAAGGGGAACUAAAGAAAAAAACAUAAAAAGGGUCAUAACCUUUGGAUGAGCUUAAGUUGAUUUUGCAGCUUAAAAAAAAGGUUAUGUUUCCAGGAUUCUUGUGAAUUGGCUUUCAAUUGGUGGGGGAUUUCAGUUUUUGAGAAAUCUUGAAUCAGUCUCUGCUUUGUAAUCUUUGUUCGUUAAAAGGUUCCUUCUACUGUAAAAUGGUGUGUUUACAAAAUUCGUUGAAAUUGUUUGUACUUCAAAAGUUUGGACAACUUGCUCUGUGUUUGUAAUCUUUUAAGCUGUGUGAAAUUUGUUAAUUCAUCUCAUUUGACCAAAAAUUAUAGUUACCAAUGAUAUAGUGAGGUCUAAUAAACCGGACUUAACCGAACCAAACGGAUCCGGUUUAUGCAAUUGUAUUUUCUACACACGUAGAAACCGCAAGUGGAGCGAUAGAGAGAGUGAGGACUCGGGAUUUAAAUGCUAAAUGCUUCGUUAAAUUUCUUCCAUUUUCCUGUUUUCGCU